Long non-coding RNA from Hydra vulgaris (swiftwater hydra), 235 nucleotides. RefSeq lists it as uncharacterized. Lineage: Eukaryota; Metazoa; Cnidaria; Hydrozoa; Anthoathecata; Hydridae. The record is from RefSeq and is a predicted model, not a curated record.
CAAAAUAAAAAUGAAAGCAAAAACCAUACACUGAAAAAAGAAAAUAAAUCUUAACUUAAAGAUGCUUGUUAUUUCCGUCAACGAAAUUUGAUACAAGUGAAGGAAACAAAACAGAUAAAAAACUAAAGCAUUUACAAUAUGCAAUCUUUUUGAGAAAUAUACGCGUCAAUAUAAAGAUAAAGAAAGAGCAAUUUUUAAAUUAUGUUUACAAAAAUAUUUUACUAAAAUUGUUUUA